RNAcentral lists this unclassified non-coding RNA (220 nucleotides) under uncultured Actinomycetes bacterium. RNAcentral describes it as "uncultured actinobacterium contains 16S-23S intergenic spacer region". Lineage: Bacteria; Bacillati; Actinomycetota; Actinomycetes. The record is from RNAcentral.
UCCGGUUUGGCAUCGGCAGUCUCCCUAGAGUUCCCGGCAUCACCCGCUGGCAACUAAGGACAGGGGUUGCGCUCGUUGCGCCACUUAAGGCAACACCUCACGGCACGAGCUGACGACAGCCAUGCACCACCUGUGCAGGCUCCGAAGAGCACCCGCUUUCACGGUUUCACCCUGCAUGUCAAGCCCAGGUAAGGUGGGGAUGACGUCUGAGAGUACGUCC